Molecule: ribosomal RNA, 1249 nt
Filed under: metagenome
Description: bacterial SSU rRNA
Rfam family: Bacterial small subunit ribosomal RNA
Source: RNAcentral
UAGCUAGUUGGUAAGGUAACGGCUUACCAAGGCGACGAUCAGUAGCCGGACUGAGAGGUUGAUCGGCCACAUUGGGACUGAGACACGGCCCAGACUCCUACGGGAGGCAGCAGUGGGGAAUAUUGCACAAUGGAGGAAACUCUGAUGCAGCGAUGCCGCGUGAGGGAAGAAGGUUUUAGGAUUGUAAACCUCUGUCUUCAGGGACGAAAAAAGACGGUACCUGAGGAGGAAGCUCCGGCUAACUACGUGCCAGCAGCCGCGGUAAUACGUAGGGAGCGAGCGUUGUCCGGAAUUACUGGGUGUAAAGGGAGCGUAGGCGGGAUCGCAAGUCAGAUGUGAAAACUAUGGGCUUAACCCAUAAACUGCAUUUGAAACUGUGGUUCUUGAGUGAAGUAGAGGUAAGCGGAAUUCCUAGUGUAGCGGUGAAAUGCGUAGAUAUUAGGAGGAACAUCAGUGGCGAAGGCGGCUUACUGGGCUUUAACUGACGCUGAGGCUCGAAAGCGUGGGGAGCAAACAGGAUUAGAUACCCUGGUAGUCCACGCCGUAAACGAUGAUUACUAGGUGUGGGGGGACUGACCCCUUCCGUGCCGCAGCAAACGCAAUAAGUAAUCCACCUGGGGAGUACGACCGCAAGGUUGAAACUCAAAGGAAUUGACGGGGGCCCGCACAAGCAGUGGAGUAUGUGGAUUAAUUCGAAGCAACGCGAAGAACCUUACCAGGUCUUGACAUCGUAUGCAUAGCUCAGAGAUGAGUGAAAUCUCUUCGGAGACAUAUAGACAGGUGGUGCAUGGUUGUCGUCAGCUCGUGUCGUGAGAUGUUGGGUUAAGUCCCGCAACGAGCGCAACCCUUACUGUUAGUUGCUGCGCAAGAGCACUCUAGCAGGACUGCCGUUGACAAAACGGAGGAAGGUGGGGAUGACGUCAAAUCAUCAUGCCCCUUAUGACCUGGGCCUCACACGUACUACAAUGGCUGUCAACAGAGGGAAGCAAAGCCGCGAGGUGGAGCGAACCCCUAAAAGCAGUCUUAGUUCGGAUUGUAGGCUGCAACCCGCCUACAUGAAGUCGGAAUUGCUAGUAAUCGCAGAUCAGCAUGCUGCGGUGAAUACGUUCCCGGGCCUUGUACACACCGCCCGUCACGCCAUGGGAGUCGGUAACACCCGAAGCCUGUAGUCUAACCGCAAGGAGGACGCAGUCGAAGGUGGGAUUGAUGACUGGGGUGAAGUCGUAACAAGGUAACCGUACUAGUACGG